RNAcentral lists this ribosomal RNA (427 nucleotides) under uncultured bacterium. RNAcentral describes it as "partial 16S ribosomal RNA". It matches the Rfam family "Bacterial small subunit ribosomal RNA", at positions 355 to 774 of the family's 1533-position model. The record is from RNAcentral.
UGGGGAAUAUUGCACAAUGGGCGCAAGCCUGAUGCAGCCAUGCCGCGUGUAUGAAGAAGGCCUUCGGGUUGUAAAGUACUUUCAGCGGGGAGGAAGGCGUUGUGGUUAAUAACCACAGCGAUUGACGUUACCCGCAGAAGAAGCACCGGCUAACUCCGUGCCAGCAGCCGCGGUAAUACGGAGGGUGCAAGCGUUAAUCGGAAUUACUGGGCGUAAAGCGCACGCAGGCGGUUUGUUAAGUCAGAUGUGAAAUCCCCUGGCUCAACCUGGGAACUGCAUUUGAAACUGGCAGGCUUGAGUCUCGUAGAGGGGGGUAGAAUUCCAGGUGUAGCGGUGAAAUGCGUAGAGAUCUGGAGGAAUACCGGUGGCGAAGGCGGCCCCCUGGACGAAGACUGACGCUCAGGUGCGAAAGCGUGGGGAGCAAACA